Gallus gallus (chicken) is the source of this 3471-nucleotide long non-coding RNA. RefSeq lists it as uncharacterized. The transcript has 6 exons. The record is from RefSeq and is a predicted model, not a curated record. NCBI's taxonomy places the organism in Eukaryota, Metazoa, Chordata, Aves, Galliformes, Phasianidae.
UGUGUGCCCUGUUCCUCAGGAAGGGGUAAGCAGUGCUGGGGUUAUUUGCUAGAUGGAGUGCGCUUGUGUUUCUUGGCUUCCUGAAAGCUGUGUCUGUCUUUUUCACUGCCGGCUGGAGAGACUCGGGGGAGAAAGCGUUGUGCUUGAUGGCACGGUUUCCUUGGGCAAAGGAUUUGGCAGCAGAGGUUUGCUGUCAGGAGGCAUGAAAGCACUGAAGCCAAUGCUGCCGUGCCCUGGGCCCAGAGACAUCAGCUCCCAGCACGUCCCUGGCGGUGGAUGUGUGCAAGCUCUGUGUCUGCCAGUGGUUGCUCCAAAGGCUUUGUGGUCAGCUGUGCGUGGCUGUUUUGCUCUUGAGGGCGUGGGAACAGAGGGCAACACGCUGAUGGGAGUGAUGGUGUCCUGCUCAGCAAAGGAUGUGCUGGGUGGCAGAAGAGGAUUCUUGGCCGAGCGUGGAAAAUCUCUCUGCUCCUUCCUGAAGGACGCAAUCUUCCACUUGAAAAGGGCCUCCCAAGGAUCCCUGGUAUCCUCUGAGAGCUCUGAGCUGCCGCACCAAUUUGAAGCUGACUUCAUUUUUGGUCUUCCCCUUCAGCAGAAAAGCUCAGACAGCCGAGCCAAGCGAGACGCUGGAUUUCCUUUGGCAUCAAGGAAAGCAUCGUGAGAUGUUCUGAUGCCCUCUCACAAUUCUUUCUCCCUCCGCCAGCACCAGAGCUGGCGUCCAAAGACGCAAUGACACUGCCACAGGCAUUGUGGAGAUUUCUAUGGGAUAGGGCCAUGGUAAGGCUUUAUUGACAGAGGGAGGGACAAUGAAGAUUGGAUGUCAGGGAGAAGGUCUUUCCAGAGACGGUGGUGAGAUGCUGGAAGCGGAUGCCCAGAGAGCUUGUGGACGCCGCGUCCGUGGCAGUGUUGAAGGCCAGGUUGGAUUGGGCACUCGGCAGCCUAGUCUAGGAUUAGAUAUGAUGCAGAUGGGAUUCAAGCAUCUGUUUUGCAGCCAGCUCGAGUGGAGCUCUUGGAGCUCAUGGGCGCCCCAUGCCCGCAUCAGCGUGGGUAGUGUGUGCCCUUCCUGCGCGGUGGGGCUUUGCUGUUUGGAGGCUGACGCUGAGGAGACUGUGUUUCUUCGUUUAUCGGUGGCAGAAAUCCAGCUCUGUCAGCAGAGGACUCCUGCGGCUGGCUGGCCUCAGCCUGAGAUGUUGAUGCUUCCAUCUCCUCAGGUUCUUUCUGCCUGCUCUUCUUAGCCCUGCGCCUCAGAAGUCUGACUGAGUCGCAUGCCAGAAGUGGAAGCCGGGAUGGAGUGCCUUGCGAUGCCUGCGACGGGCUGGACUGAGCCCUUGAGGAAGGUCUGGAAUCGUUGCUGAAAGAUUCGUUGGCUUUGGGCAACUUCAGCACCGCAGCCACACGAUGGGCUUUUUCCGCUUCCCGUUCUUCCUCACGGAAGCUCACGUGUUUGGUUCCCGGGGCUCGGCCCAGGUCUUCUUGGCUGUCUGUUUCUGCCUGGCCCUGCAGCUGGCAGGUCAGCGGCUGCUUUUGGUCUUCAGGCACUCCAGGGAUGGCUGGCAGCAGACUGAAAGGACAGAGCAGGAGGGGUCCGCCUGAGUGGGUGAUGGCUUUGGGGCCGCGUCCUGCAAGCCGGAGCCAGGACCCUUGGCUGCAACGCAGCCUUCCCCACAGACAGCUCAGCGGCUGCCCCGUGGCUCUCCCCCGUGGGAUCCAGAGAGGGGCCAGCCCUGUGAGCUGGGGGGCUCCUGGCGUCCCCAUCCCAGCACUGUUGGGCAGCCAGAAACAGGGACCCUUUGGGGCUAGGGAAUGGGCUCUCGUUGGCUCAGUCAAUCACCCCCAUGCACAUGCCAAGCCAGAGCCUCCAGCCUCACCUGGACGUAGAGCUCUCCUUGCGCAGUAAGCUCCUUAUCCUUCGGAGUUUUCCUCCAUCUAGACUGUCCGAGCUCAAGCGUUUGAUGAAGGUUGGCUUGCCAGCAAAUCUCACUGGGAUUGGGAAGGCAGAGGAGACUUACCGUCAACCCUUUGGCUCACUCACCAGGGGCGCUCAGGCCUGUUCCCAGAACAUGCGAGAGGGCCGCUCUGCUCCCCCCACUGCUGACAUCUGUGCCGCCCGCGGACCCUCCCUGAAACCAUCUCUGGCCCCACUUCUCCUCUCUGCCAUCUUGGGACUCUCUUUGGGAGUGCAUUAGUGACGGUGGCUUUGGGAAAGCGGAGCUGGGUGGUGACGAUGAGCUGACAGGGUGACUUUUGGGGACCAUAUCCUUUUGUUGGGGGAGGGCGGGGCCUAAGGUGCCGAGGUGCUCCUGCCAUAGCCAGGGAUGGGGGCACGUCACAGCCAGCGCCUUGGUUUUGGAGAGGCCAACAAUUCCUCGUGGGAAGAGGCCGUGCUGAGCUGGCGUGAAGCUUUGACGGAUGCCUCCUGAGGACCUGCGGGAUAUCCCAGGUGGUGGUUUGGGACAAACUCCAUUUGAAACCUGUACGCGAGGAGACGACAGUGAGCGGUGGGACGCAGCGCUCCACCAAUCCUUGUUGCUCUCUCUGAUUGCCUGCUGACAGGCCCAUUUUCAUGCUGCAUGAUGGCCACUGCUUUCUAAAGGCUUCAGCAGGGCCAGGCUGAGAGCAACCUGAUGUGGCGCUUCUCAAGGAAGUCGUAAUAGAAUUUCAUGUGGAAGGUCAGUCCAUCGAUGUGGAGCACUCCAAUGUCCUUGAAGACAACGGCAACGUUCUCCCCAUUCUUCAGGCAGCCAGAGAGCAGGGACACGGUGCUUUGGAUGCAAGCCUGCGCUGUCUGCCAGGUCACAGAGGCAGCUGCGGCCACCUCGCUGCUCUUGAGCGGCUCCAGCUUCCUAUGGGCUGAAAAAUGGGAGGGACGGAGUUGAUGAUACGGUUGGUUUUCCGCAGUGCUUCCCUGGAACUGCUUCUUGUGGCCAUCAGCCAGAACGGCCCCAUGUUUGGCUGGGCUCCUCCGAGGGGGAGGUUUGCUUUGGAGAAUGGAGGCGGUGGCCCUGUUGGCCCUGUGCGUGAAGCCAGCAAAGCUUUAAUCCUCCCUCCUACCUGGCAGGGACUCCCUGCGGGGCUUGAGGUGGUGCACGGCUAUGAGGUUUCCAGACAAGUGAAAGACGGGCCACCGCAGAGUCACGGUCCCGUCCUCAGUCCUGAUGUCUCUGGAGAUGGUGUCAAAGGAUCCGAAGCACAGCAGUCAGGGCAGAAGCAGCCUGAUGGGAUCCAGAGGCUUCCCGCGAGCGGGAUCAGCCCUGAGACAGGACAGCGCCCAGCACAAGUGAUCCUGCGGGAUUUGCAGGAAGCCCAUGGCAUGCCCAGUAGAGACACGUGGGGAGGUGCUCUUGUACGUAGGCGGCCACCGCAUCCCAGACGGCAACUCGCUCUGGAGGGCAAAGGAAAAGCAGGUCACACUCUGCACCUGCCGCUUCCCGGCAGCCCUCCCGCUGCCAGGCGGGAGUGAGGUGGCAGAUGGAA